Lampris incognitus (smalleye Pacific opah) is the source of this 222-nucleotide long non-coding RNA. RefSeq lists it as uncharacterized. The transcript is spliced from 3 exons. Lineage: Eukaryota; Metazoa; Chordata; Actinopteri; Lampriformes; Lampridae. The record is from RefSeq and is a predicted model, not a curated record.
ACGCGGAAUUGGAGCAGAAGGUGAAGGCGGAGAACCCGCGGGUCUUGUGAACGGCAGCGACUCGCACACGGCUAUGCUCGUCCUCCGUCAGAAUGGUGGAGGGACAGACUUACGUGAAACUCAGUGAGGAGAAGUUAAUACCAAAGUCCGACGUCUUGUUACUGCUCAGGACGUACAACUGUUACCACGAAGGAAAAAACUUCCAGCUGAGGACCCGCCAGG